GCGCCACACAGCCAAUAUCAGCCUAAUGCACUGCGGUGUCUGUGUGUAUAUGUAUCCGUUGUCAGUGCUGAGAAAAGCAAAGGAUCACACUGAGAGCUUGUCAUAGGGUGGAGCUGCCAUCUCGCUGAUUCACGUUAACAUCUCGUCUCGCCGAGUCUUGAGACUGUGCGGUGCUAUCACGAAUUUAGGUGUCUCUUUUCACAUCUUUUGGAACAUCUUUUCGUCGUGUUUUCAUCUUUAUAUAAGAACACAGUUUUCAAGGAAUACAUCACCUGAACGGGGUUGGUGACAAAAUGUCCAAACGUCACAUUUUCAAUUUAAAUGGGACAAAGUUUGAGUUGAGCAAGCAAGUGUUUUUUAAACUCGUGGAGUGUAAAAAUGUCGCUCUCCCUGAACCGGAUGUGACAAACAGUAAAGGAAAGGAAUACUUUUUUGAGAGGAAUGCUGGGUGUUUUGAAGCCAUCUUGGAAUACGCGCAACACGGGACUCUUCACAUGCCUGCCACCGUGUGUCCAAAUACGUUUCAACGAGAGCUGGAAUUUUGGAGAGUGGACGCCAGGCUUAUGGCUCCUUGCUGCUACCGGAAGUAUUUGGCUUUCUUUGACGAUGAACGAACCCUGAAACGAUUUGAACAAAAUAUACCCCUGCAAGAACCAAAGGUGAAAGGUCAAUCCAGCAGAGGUUGUAGAGCAAGGACGUGGGCGCUGCUUGAUGACCCAUCUUCGUCUGUCGGGGCAAAGGUUUACCUGGGAGUCUCAACAGCGUUCGUCUUGAUAUCGCUGUUCGUUUUAGCAGCAAGCACCCACCCCUGCUUCCAACGAGAUCUUGACGAGAAUGAAUGGACUUUGGUUCUUGGAAAAGAUGGCUACAACAAACACAAAGAUCGAUUACCUGUGCAUGGACCUCCCAAACCCGUCCAAGGUCAAGUUCAAGGUCAGGCUACAGGUCAAGUUCAAGGAGGCGGUAGAACAUCCCCAAUUCCUGUUUCGGGGACACCGCCUCCUGACCCUACUGCCAAGUUAGACGGUGAAGAGAAGGAGGAUGAACUGGAUAUCGAUACGGCCUCAAUGCACUCGCGGCAAAUCUUUUUGACGUAUAUGGAGUACGCAACUAUAGCCUUCUUCACUCUGGAAGCAAUAUUCAGAAUCAUUUUCUGUCCUAGCAAGUUACGCUUCUUCCGAAAUUUUCUAAACAUAAUGGACCUCGUAAGUUUGGUUGCAAUGUACACGACGACCACAGUUGAGAAUCUCCUCCCAGAAGAGCGGUACAAGAGCUCGGUUCUGGAUUACGUGGAAAUUCUGCAGAUUCUGCGAAUUUUCCGAGUGUUCCGAAUCGUUAAGGACGUGAUCGGGUUCCGCGUUCUUGUUUAUUCCCUGCAUUCCAGCGUCCGGGAAAUAUUUCUUCUCCUCCUUUACCUCUCCAUCGGAACAGUCCUCUUCGCCAGCGUCAUGUACUUCCUGGAGAGAGAGAACAUGCGCAGUAUCCCUGACGCCGCUUGGUGGGUGGUCGUUACCAUGACAACAGUCGGGUAUGGAGAUAUGUCACCGAUCUCGCUUCAGGGGAAGCUGCUCGGAUGCCUUUGCGCCAUCUGUGGGGUGAUUCUAAUCGCCGUCACGGUGCCAAUCUUUGUGAGCAACUUCCUACUAUUUUAUACGUAUUCAAAGGCGAUCGAGGAGAUUGAGGGCGGUGAGCAAGAAGGCAGUGAGUCUGUUGACGAGGCAUGGGGACGCAUAACUAGACAAGAUGGCGUCCAGUUUAAGACACGCAUGGCGGAAGCGAAAAAGGGAGUUAAUACAGUGAAACCUCAAGAAACGAUUAUCCUGGAUGAUGUAAAGUUUUGAUCUGAUAGCUGCAACACGUUUAACUCGAAGUUAAAGCGGAUUUAAGUGCAGCUUCGAGGUAAAAUGGUGAAUAUGAACCUGCAGUCAUUAGUAUUUUUUUGUUCCGGCGAAAAUCGUAAAUGUUAAAUCGACAUGUAUUCGACGAAUGUAAGACGUCAAAUUAACGAUACGUGAACUAGGGAGGUGGUGAAUGACAGCUGACACAAGCCCAAUCAACCACUGCGCCACUGUUUGCUAUGCAGAGUUGCGUCCCUUGGGUGUGCCAGCAAACUGCACGUGUGAUCGUUGGUUCGAUUUGGGUUCUUCCCGCAUGAAGCUGAUACGCUGUGAUCUAACUGAAAUACCGUUUUCCUGCGUUUAACCGUCCACACUCACACACUCACCCCAGUAAAACGAGCAAGUUGUCGAGGGUCGAAUGUACGGUAUCGGUUUCAAAUCAGAUUUUGUUAUUGUUAUUUUAUUAUUGAGAUAGACGUGGGUACAUGCGUAUUUACAUGUUAUAACUAAAUUGCAAUAACCUAAAUGGCUCAAGUUCAGUAAACUACGGUUAUAGCGAACUCAAAGGGACUACUAAUAUUAGUUCGUUAUAACCGUAGUUCGUUAUAAGCAUAUAUACAGCAUAACUACAGCAAACAGUCGGGACCAAAAAAGUAAGUUCGUUAUAUCCGUCAGUUUGUUAUAUGCGUGUUCGUUAUAACCGUAGUUUACUGUAAGUUGUUUUGGAUCCAGUCACAUUUGAAGCUUUAAUACAUAGUCAGCAUCACGUCUGACACGUGGUUCCUACCCAAGCCCAUAUACUUCCAGUAAACAGUUAUCUUUCUACAAAUUUAGGCAAAAAUAUUUGUGUUUUAUUUUAUUCUAUUGAUAUUUUUCUUUUCUAAAUUAUGUUUUUGGUCAAAAUGAAAAUAAUUUCCGGUACAAUCUGAGACCAAUUCGAACAUUAAUUUGUCGAUCGUUUGCUGAAUAACACCGACACGGUCUUAACAAAUAAAACUGUUUGUUGUCGAAUUUUGUAAAGAGGUCUGUUGACGUCGAAUUUGGUAAAGAGGUAUGCUGACGUCGAAUUUGGUAAAGAGGUAUGUUGACGUCGAAUUUUGUGAAGAGGUAUGUUGACGUCGAAUUAGGUAAAGAGGUAUGUUGACGUCGAAUUAUGUAAAGAGGUAUGUUGACGUCGAACUUGGUAAAGAGGUAUGCUGACGUCGAAUUUUGUAAAGAGGUAUGCUGACGUCGAAUUUGGUAAAGAGGUAUGUUGAAGUAGAAUUUGGUAAAGCGGUAUGUUGACGUCAAAUUUGGUAGAGAGGUAUGCUGACGUCGAAUUUGGUGAAGAUGUAUGUUGACGUCGAAUUUGGUAAAGAUGUAUGUUGACGUCGGAUUUUGUGAAGAGGUAUGCUGACGUCGAAUUUUGUAAAGAGUCAUGCUGACGUCGAAUUUUGUGAAGAUGUAUGUUGACGUCGAAUUAUGUAAAGAGGUAUGUUGACGUCAAACUUGGUAAAGAGGUAUGCAGACGUCGAAUUUUGUAAAGAGGUAUGCUGACGUCGAAUUUUGUAAAGAGGUAUGUUGAAGUAGAAAUUGGUAAAGCGGUAUGUUGACGUCAAAUUUGGUAGAGAGGUAUGCUGACGUCGACUUUUGUGAAGAUGUAUGUUGACGUCGGAUUUUGUGAAGAGGUAUGCUGACGUCGAAUUUGGUAAAGAUGUAUGUUGACGUCGAAUUUUGUGAAGCGGUAUGCUGACGUCGAAUUUGGUAAAGAGGUAUGUUGACGUCGAAUUUUGUAAAGAGGUAUGUUGACGUCGAAUUUUGUGAAGAGGUAUGUUGACGUCGACUUAGGUAAAGAGGUAUGUUGACGUCGAAUUAUGUAAAGAGGUAUGUUGACGUCGAACUUGGUAAAGAGGUAUGCUGACGUCGAAUUUUGUAAAGAGGUAUGCUGACGUCGAAUUUGGUAAAGAGGUAUGUUGAAGUAGAAUUUGGUAAAGCGGUAUGUUGACGUCAAAUUUGGUAGAGAGGUAUGCUGACGUCGAAUUUGGUGAAGAUGUAUGUUGACGUCGAAUUUGGUAAAGAUGUAUGUUGACGUCGGAUUUUGUGAAGAGGUAUGCUGACGUCGAAUUUUGUAAAGAGUCAUGCUGACGUCGAAUUUUGUGAAGAUGUAUGUUGACGUCGAAUUAUGUAAAGAGGUAUGUUGACGUCAAACUUGGUAAAGAGGUAUGCAGACGUCGAAUUUUGUAAAGAGGUAUGCUGACGUCGAAUUUUGUAAAGAGGUAUGUUGAAGUAGAAAUUGGUAAAGCGGUAUGUUGACGUCAAAUUUGGUAGAGAGGUAUGCUGACGUCGAAUUUUGUGAAGAUGUAUGUUGACGUCGGAUUUUGUGAAGAGGUAUGCUGACGUCGAAUUUGGUAAAGAUGUAUGUUGACGUCGAAUUUUGUGAAGCGGUAUGCUGACGUCGAAUUUGGUAAAGAGGUAUGUUGACGUCGAAUUUUGUAAAGAGGUAUGUGGACGUCGAAUUUUGUAAAGAGGUCUGUUGACGUCGAAUUUGGUAAAGAUGUCUGUUAGCGUCAAAUGUGUUAAGGAACAUUUAUUUGCAUAUUGACAUCCCACUUUCACCACAUGAUUAUUUUAAUACAACAGGCAUGUAAUUAAGCGCGCACAUGCUGAAAGUAUAGAUAAUAGUUACAUAAUCGAUAUAUCAGGCCUUCACCUAUGCUGCUGAACUAACUUUACUGUUUUCUGUUGACACAUCGGAGACGCCUGGUAUUGACACGCACUGGGUUAUCUUGAUACGAAACAGAACUUAAUGCAUGUAUGUAGCAAUCCCCUGAGGGUUCUGUAAUUAGCAAUUACGUUUCUGUUAUUGCAUAUUUUGCCUUAACGCUUGUUCAUGUCGUGGCGGAGGAUUGAAACGACCACUGUCCAUGCAGGUUCUGACUCUAGCCCAGACAGUGAAACCCCGUUUAUCCGGACACGUGUUAAUCAGGACGCUUUGGAACGCCAAUAUCACGCUCCGUAUUAACAGGGUUCCACCGUAUUUCCAUUUCAAAGUGCGAGACACCCAGUGGUUGAUAGCUGGGCGAUGAUUCUCGCCUUCAGGGCAUGAUGAGGAUAGACAUGUAGCCAGGUCCCACAGUGGGAAAAACCCGAUCUCAUUACAGUAACUUAAAAUUGAAAAAAAAUGGCAACCAUUUCAGUAAAAAUGUCAUUAUUUGUUAUUUACAAAUAAAACGGUAACAUCAAAGAUGGAGAUGAAGAUGAUGAUGAAGUUUAUCUGACCUUUUUUUUCGGAGUCUAAUAAACAAGUUUCACCUCGAAUCAAUUAUCGAAAUCCAAAUUGGUACACAUUGCAUUCCCUAUUCCAUUAUAUUCGAUAAGUUUCAAUCGCUAUUUAUAACUUUAUCAGCAUAUCAUGUUUGUUUAUUUUUUUAAUUGUAUAUGUGCCCUUUUCUGUAAAUUUACGAAUGUGUCUAAAUAUGUAUUCAUGUACCUUUUAUACCACUGUUUUUGGCCUGGGCGUAAUAAAGUUCAGUUCACUUAUGUGGGGGAUCGGGUGGCCACGUGGCAAAGACUCAACAACGUAAUAUACAGAAUUGUGGGUUCGAGUCUCAAAGUAUGUCCGAUUAUGACCCUUGAUUUGUCGAUGCUGCUACCACAGGCACUACAUUGUUUUUGGCAUCUAACCGACAGUGAUAUACAGUGACAGUAUUGUAUACACCGGGAUUAAACUGAACCUCAUCAGUCUCUUUACAGAUGCGUCUAAAUAAGAUGCGUAAGUCGUGUUCGGCAUUGAGAUUAGUUUUGUUUUUGUUUAUGCAACUAAGUUGCUGAAAUUAAAGCCAUUGUUGUAUAGUUUAGGGAUUGUUUUGUGUACAGUAAAACUUGAUAAAUUGAAAUAUCAUCUGGUAUGUUGUCUUUAUAAGCUGGUAUGUUGUGUUUAUCAGCUGGUAUGUUGUCUUUAACAGCUGGUAUUUUGUCUUUAUCAGCUGGUAUGUUGUGUUUAUCAGCUGGUAUGUUGUCUUUAACAGCUGGUAUUUUGUCUUUAUCAGCUGGUAUGUUGUCUUUAUCAGCUGGUAUGUUGUCUUUAAAAGCUGGUAUGUUGUCUUUAUCAGCUGGUAUGGUGUCUUUAACAGCUGGUAUGAUGGCUUUAUCAGCUGGUGUGUUGUCUUCAUGUUGUUUUUAUCAGCUGGUAUGAUUGCUUUAACAGCUGGUAUUUUGUGUUUAAAAGCUGGUAUGUUGUCUUUAUCAGCUGGUAUGGUGUCUUUAACAGCUGGUAUGAUGGCUUUAUCAGCUCGUGUGUUGUCUUCAUGUUGUUUUUAUCAGCUGGUAUGAUUGCUUUAACAGCUGGUAUUUUGUGUUUAAAAGCUGGUAUGUUGUCUUUAUCAGCUGGUAUGGUGUCUUUAACAGCUGGUAUGAUGGCUUUAUCAGCUGGUGUGUUGUCUUCAUGUUGUUUUUAUCAGCUGGUCUGCUGGCUUUAACAGCUGGUAUGUUGGCUUUAACAGCUGGUAUGCUAGCUAUAACAGCUGGUAUGUUGUAUUUAUGUUAUCAGUAUCAGCUGGUAUGUUGUCUUUAUCAGCUGGUAUGUUGGCUUUAUCAGCUGGUAUGUUGGCUUUAACAGCUGGCGUGUUGUUUUUUAUCAGCUGGUAUGUUGGCUUUAACAGCUGGUGUUUUGUUUUUUAUCAGCUGGUAUGUUGGCUUUAACAGCUGGUAUGUUGUCUUCAUGUUAUCAUUAUCAACUGGUAUGUUGUGUUUAUCAGCUGGUAUGUUGUCUUUAACAGCUGGUAUGUUGUUUUUAUCAGCUGGUGUGUGUCAUGUUGGCUUUAACAGCUAGUAUGUUGGCUUUAUGAGCUGGUAUGUUGUCUUUAUCAGCUGGUAUUUUGGCUAGAGCUACUGUGCAUUCAUCAAGUUAAUGACUGAAAUUAUGAACAGUUGCUUCAGUUGUAUAUUUCUCAUUUCUAAGAGUGAGAGUGAGUGUGAAUUUUGUUUUACACCGCUCUGAGUAAUAUUCCCAGCACCGCGGAGAACACAAGAAAUCGUCUUCACACAUUCUACCCAUGUGGAGAAUCAAACCCGGGCUUUCAGUGUGACGGGCGAACACUUUAACCACGGGGCUACCCCAUCGUUCCAGUUCAUUUGAAGGGUUACCACAGUUUAUAACCAGGAGAAUCUCUCUGGUCAGGUCAAUUUUACCCGAAAACUCAAGAAAAUUAAUGUAAUGCACCAUGUGUUUUGUAGGAUCAGGUACAGGACAGGAUUUUUAAGGGAUAUUAUUUUAUAAUAAUUAAUGAGUGAAAUGCACAAGGUUGUGUUAGGUUGAUACAAAGUUUCAUAGUCAACAGUUUUAAGGAAGGAACAUAUUUAUUGUGCACUGCUUUAUUCAAUGACGCGCGGAAUUUAUUUUUGUAACAUGUUCUCUAUGUUUAAAUAAAAUGUGGCCUCCCCUA
This 7261-nucleotide unclassified non-coding RNA is filed under the name Haliotis rufescens (red abalone). RNAcentral describes it as "potassium voltage-gated channel subfamily C member 4- like, transcript variant X1". The stretch from base 1524 to 1637 matches the Rfam family "Potassium channel RNA editing signal". The record is from RNAcentral. Lineage: Eukaryota; Metazoa; Mollusca; Gastropoda; Lepetellida; Haliotidae.